UGCCAGCUUUAUUAUCUCCCUGCUA
RNAcentral lists this non-coding RNA (25 nucleotides) under Mus musculus (house mouse). Lineage: Eukaryota; Metazoa; Chordata; Mammalia; Rodentia; Muridae. The record is from RNAcentral.